CCCGUCGUGAGGCAAAACCUGAAGGAAUCCCAAGGCAUAACUUCGACCCGGGGAUCAUGAACCGUAUGAGGCGGAUGUAGCGGACAAGGUCACCAAACGGGCUGAAGUCCGAUGGCUGCACAGAAGCUGCGGACGUAGAUGCGGCGGGUACGCGAGGCGAAAGAUGUUGGU
Molecule: non-coding RNA, 171 nt
Organism: Olsenella profusa F0195
Lineage: Bacteria; Bacillati; Actinomycetota; Coriobacteriia; Coriobacteriales; Atopobiaceae
Source: Rfam